RNAcentral lists this ribosomal RNA (427 nucleotides) under uncultured bacterium. RNAcentral's name for it is "bacterial SSU rRNA". It matches the Rfam family "Bacterial small subunit ribosomal RNA", at positions 355 to 774 of the family's 1533-position model. The record is from RNAcentral.
UGGGGAAUUUUGGACAAUGGGCGCAAGCCUGAUCCAGCAAUGCCGCGUGCAGGAAGAAGGCCUUCGGGUUGUACACUGCUUUUGUACGGAACGAAAAGGUCUGCCCUAAUACGGCGGGCCGAUGACGGUACCGUAAGAAUAAGCACCGGCUAACUACGUGCCAGCAGCCGCGGUAACACGUAGGGCGCGAGCGUUAAUCGGAAUUACUGGGCGUAAAGCGUGCGCAGGCGGUGAUGCAAGACAGUUGUGAAAUCCCCGGGCUCAACCUGGGAAUUGCAUCUGUGACUGCAUCGCUAGAGUACGGUAGAGGGGGAUGGAAUUCCGCGUGUAGCAGUGAAAUGCGUGGAUAUGCGGAGGAACACCGAUGGCGAAGGCAAUACCCUGGACCUGUACUGACGCUCAUGCACGAAAGCGUGGGGCGCAAACA